UACAGAGGGGGCAAGCGUUAUUCGGAAUUAUUGGGCGUAAAGGGCGCGUAGGCGGCCUGGCAAGUGGAAGGUGAAAUCCCUCGGCUUAACCGAGGAACUGCCCUCCAAACUGCUUGGCUUGAGACCGGGAGAGGUGAGUGGAAUUCCCAGUGUAGCGGUGAAAUGCGUAGAUAUUGGGAGGAACACCAGUGGCGAAGGCGGCUCACUGGACCGGUACUGACGCUGAUGCGCGAAAGCGUGGGGAGCAAACGGG
RNAcentral lists this ribosomal RNA (253 nucleotides) under uncultured bacterium. RNAcentral describes it as "partial 16S ribosomal RNA". It matches the Rfam family "Bacterial small subunit ribosomal RNA", at positions 524 to 776 of the family's 1533-position model. The record is from RNAcentral.